CCCUUAGAUGUUCUGGGCCGCACGCGCGCUACACUGAUGCAUUCAACAAGCCUAGCCUUGACCGAGAGGUCCGGGUAAUCUUUGAAACUGCAUCGUGAUGGGGCUAGAUUAUUGCAAUUAUUAAUCUUCAACGAGGAAUGCCUAGUAAGCGUGAUUCAUCAAAUCGCGUUGAUUACGUCCCUGCCCUUUGUACACACCGCCCGUCGCUCCUACCGAUUGAAUGUGUUGGUGAGGAGCUCGGAUUGGCAGCAGUUGGUGGUUUGCCACCGGCUAUUGCUGAGAAGUCCUCCAAACCGCCCCAUUUAGAGGAAGGAGAAGUCGUAACA
RNAcentral lists this ribosomal RNA (326 nucleotides) under uncultured eukaryote. Its description in RNAcentral is "partial 18S ribosomal RNA". It matches the Rfam family "Eukaryotic small subunit ribosomal RNA", at positions 1470 to 1796 of the family's 1831-position model. The record is from RNAcentral.